This 505-nucleotide long non-coding RNA is filed under the name Bos taurus (domestic cattle). RNAcentral describes it as "long non-coding RNA NONBTAT025932". The record is from RNAcentral. Lineage: Eukaryota; Metazoa; Chordata; Mammalia; Artiodactyla; Bovidae.
AUUUAAAGAGGUUGACAUGAAGAGGGUUUGAGCUUUCCAAGUUUAGUAAAAACUCUAAAUGUCCUGUGGAAAAUAGGGCUUAUGACACUUCUAUUGAGUUUGCAAUUAGAAGGAAGUAUUGAGGAUUACAUAAAACAUUUUUUUCCACUUUGUGAAAGGAAGGAGGUAGUAAAUGCUGGUUGUUCUUUGAAAUAGUGUUAAACAGGAUGUUGGAAGCCUGAAAGAGAAUGGUUGGAAAGCUGUUAUUACCAGGAAUAUUCUUUGGGGUUAGGCAUUAGCAACAGAGCAUGUAAUCAUUUGCCUUUACCGAAAAAGAGUACUCUAUGUAUGUGUUUAUUUUAUUAGUCUUUAAUGACAUAUGUGGGGUUAGGGGUGGAUUGUCAUGCACUUUGGAAGCAUGUAAGAAAAGUUAUAUGCUAAUAAGAACAUUUUAAGUGUGUGGAUUUGAUAAUAUAGUUCCUGUGAAUGAUUGGAAACUAUUGGAAAAAGCUUUAGUAAAUGGAGC